GGCAGUUCUCGGGUGACACACCCCAGAAUUGGGCCCCUUCCUCCCUGGUUCCAGGUGCGUCACCCUAGAACCGCA
Non-coding RNA from Myotis brandtii (Brandt's bat), 75 nucleotides. The record is from Rfam. NCBI's taxonomy places the organism in Eukaryota, Metazoa, Chordata, Mammalia, Chiroptera, Vespertilionidae.